CCUUAGCAGAGCUGUGGAGUGUGACAAUGGUGUUUGUGUCCAAUCUAUCAAACGCCAUUAUCACACUAAAUAGCUACUGUUAGGC
Molecule: microRNA precursor, 85 nt
Filed under: Erinaceus europaeus (western European hedgehog)
Lineage: Eukaryota; Metazoa; Chordata; Mammalia; Eulipotyphla; Erinaceidae
Description: microRNA 122 (ENSEEUG00000016210.1)
Rfam family: mir-122 microRNA precursor family (bases 7-79)
About the family: In mammals, miR-122 is enriched in liver cells where it has been implicated as a regulator of fatty-acid metabolism in mouse studies. The hairpin precursors (represented here) are predicted based on base pairing and cross-species conservation -- their extents are not known. In this case the mature sequence is excised from the 5' arm of the hairpin.
Source: RNAcentral